UACGUAGGGGGCAAGCGUUGUCCGGAAUCAUUGGGCGUAAAGAGCGUGUAGGCGGCCAGAUAAGUCCGCUGUGAAAACUCGAGGCUCAACUUCGAGCUGUCGGUGGAAACUAUUUGGCUAGAGUCCGGAAGAGGAGAGUGGAAUUCCUGGUGUAGCGGUGAAAUGCGCAGAUAUCAGGAAGAACACCCGUGGCGAAAGCGGCUCUCUGGAACGGUACUGACGCUGAGACGCGAAAGCGUGGGGAGCGAACAGG
This 253-nucleotide ribosomal RNA is filed under the name uncultured bacterium. RNAcentral's name for it is "partial 16S ribosomal RNA". It matches the Rfam family "Bacterial small subunit ribosomal RNA", at positions 524 to 776 of the family's 1533-position model. The record is from RNAcentral.